RNAcentral lists this non-coding RNA (30 nucleotides) under Homo sapiens (human). Lineage: Eukaryota; Metazoa; Chordata; Mammalia; Primates; Hominidae. The record is from RNAcentral.
CCAAGGCAAACCAUGCUGGAUGUUUGUGAC